GAAACUGCUUAAAUCAGGCACGUGAGCUGGAGAUGUAGCGGCAUACUGAAAAGCUUGGCACUUGAGUUCAGACAGACCAUGGUCCCUGCUGCUCUUUGGUACUGCUGGAGAUGGAGAAAAGCACCUUGACUACUGCCAGAACCGCCCAACAAUGCGGAACUUCCCCCAGCUUCUUAUUUCUGAGCUUUCAGGAUUGCAGGCAGGUGGUCACUUCUUAACCUAACCUUGUUAGUCGCCGAAUGAGCUUCCUGCCUGUGUUGUACGUGUUCUGAGCUCUGCCUGGGAGACAGCACACAGCUGCCAUUUAGCAAGGCUACAGAGCCACCGAGACCCAAUGUUCAGCUUCACCUCCACACCAGGUGGGCAGCAGCAGCAGGACUGCAGCACGCUGGCCAGCUAAAGAGAAACAGAAAGCAGAGCAUAUCAGAACAGACCCUCUACCAACACAGCCUCGUUUCAGCCAACGGCUGGAGGCCUCUGCAGUCUUUGGACAACCAUUUUACUCCCAAGUCUGGCUAAGGCUUCACCAUCAGUUUGCUUACAAUUAAUUUCCCAGUGGCAUCACAAGAAUAAAAUACUCACGGGAAUAUACAAGCUUGUGAAAAAACGUUAGCACACUGGAUGCUGUGGAGAUAAAUGCAGGCACAGCCUCAUAUACUCAAGGAUGUGUCACAAACUACUCCUGUGAUUGCUUUAGCAGUUCUCUGACGGGCUGACCACUGGCAGGCACAACCAUGCUCUCGCAGAGGGGCAAGCUUGCCUUGGGAAACAUCCUCACCACAAAGGACGCUCCAGCAGCUCAAGCUGCAUCACUUCUCACUCCCUCGGAGAAACAGGAUCAGCUGCCAAGCGAGGUAAUUCCUAGCAAGGAACUGCCAAUGAUUUGGUGGAUUCCCUUCCUAAAGUACCUGCCCCACGCUGCUGCCAUCUGGCUCACCCAUGAUGACCGCAGCUCCUGUCCCACCACUGCUGGAGCCACAGGCAACCCGGGCGUCCCUCGAGAGGAGCCUCCUGCAGGAAGCCACCAGCAGGAGCAGGCUCGCUUCUUCGUGCUGCUAACAGAGGGACAGUGGCUCACAGGAAAAGUGAAACGAAUUCUUCGCAUUUCUACGCACGGUACAAAAACCAGACCCAUCUGUUCCUCUGGGGACUCUUUGGCUGACACUGAAAUGGCUGGAAAAAAAAAAGAGGUCACAAAACAAAGAGCCAAAGUGAGGAGCAGCGGGUUGCCAGCCCUGGGUGGCGUUCACCAAAGAGGAAACCUGCAAGCCAGCUACAGCCUUCCUAAAACCGCCUUGGUACCUGGGGACAGCAGGGAGGUGAGCAUGACACCACUUCUGUAAGACAAAGAAACCCUGGUGACUUGUAGGCCUCCAAACCCAGCGCUCUUCGAGGAAACACAGACAAUAUUUAAAAUACAGACAAGAAUUAGCAGACUACUGAUGGAUCUGUAUAAAUAUGAUGCACCAGGAAAAAAAAGAAAAUCAUUGAGACUUCUGUAAUGGGACUCCCAGCCUCGCGGAAGGCGGCGCAGACCACUUCAAGUUUCAAAACUUGUGGCUUCCUCAAAGGCUUCUCACAAGGAAUCCGCAAUGCCAAACCGGAACAGGGACUGUCCCCGCAGGGAUAAACAACUGGGCAAGAGAUAACAAACAAGGGUGGGAGUAAACAGUCACUUCCAGCAAGGGAGGGAGUCACAGCAAUUUUUCUGGGACCAGGCCAUUAUCUGAGUCAACGGGGCAGUAGGAGGGUGGGCAGCGACCACGUACUCUGAUGGUAACACCCCAGGCAAGGAAGUCAAGCAGCUGGGAAGAACAGCAGAAAAAUAUUAUGGCUGUAAGUAACCUGGUAGUAAAGUGGUAGAUGAAAUUGCAUGUAGAUAAAGUGAGGCAUACACCAGUCAGUAAUAAAAUCCU
Long non-coding RNA from Anas platyrhynchos (mallard), 1916 nucleotides. RefSeq lists it as uncharacterized. The record is from RefSeq and is a predicted model, not a curated record. Lineage: Eukaryota; Metazoa; Chordata; Aves; Anseriformes; Anatidae.